UAUCAGAUUAUUUACCAUCUGUAAUGUAAUAACCACUAGAAUAAAAAAUCUACUACUUGACUAUACUAUUUGUCUUCAUGACAUUUUUGGCGUGGUAAUUCUGACAAUCAUUAAAAUAGGAACGAAAAAGUCCCAAUGACAAUUACAAGUAAGGUGAAAUUGAGCUUUCGGUCACCAUAAAGUUGAGAAGUGAUAUAGUUAUGACUACCAUUGUCACAUAAUGCUUCAUUAGAGCGGCAGAUUUCAUAUCCCAACGACGAAAUUGCGACAAACUGUAUUAUUUCCCAAAAAAAAUCGAUGGUAAAAACCCGUCUGGUUUAUUUUAUGAUAGAUUUCAUAACAGAAACAAAAAGGAAACAUUAAAUCGUUAGAGAGACUAAAGAGUUGGUGAUCAAAAAAUAAACUCUUAGGCCGAAGGCAGAGUGGGCGCGAGAAGCUGUUUUUUUAUAAUGUUAAAUCAGUGUAAAAAUGUAUCAGGAAAAUAA
Malaya genurostris is the source of this 485-nucleotide long non-coding RNA. RefSeq lists it as uncharacterized. The record is from RefSeq and is a predicted model, not a curated record. Lineage: Eukaryota; Metazoa; Arthropoda; Insecta; Diptera; Culicidae. The transcript is spliced from 3 exons.